Carassius gibelio (silver crucian carp) is the source of this 725-nucleotide long non-coding RNA. RefSeq lists it as uncharacterized. The transcript has 3 exons. The record is from RefSeq and is a predicted model, not a curated record. NCBI's taxonomy places the organism in Eukaryota, Metazoa, Chordata, Actinopteri, Cypriniformes, Cyprinidae.
UGCCAAAAAUGCCCAUCCCUGAUCUGUGCAUGCUCACAGUCAUCUGCACAAAACACUUCCUCUAUAAAAUUGAUAGCUAUUUAGUGCUCCCUUGCUUGCUGUGUCAAAUGUGAAUGCAUGUGUAAUGUUGCUUAUUAAAUAAUGACAACACCAAUAGUGUUUUGGUAUAUAAUUGCAAUUUAUAGGUUUCUGAAUUAAAAUUUUGUUUAAAUGUAGACAUUUUAUGUUUUCUAUAGGUGUCUGGCAAGUAAAAUUUGGACAACAAAAAAACCUAAUCUGCCUGUCUUUCUCUUUUUUCCUCUUAGUUCUUCUUCGUAAUAUAUUAACAAAACAGGAGAUGCUUAUGGACCAAAUGCGAAUUAUCAUGAAGACCCUCCAGUGUAUGCAAUCAAGUCAGGAGACAGAGAUAGGCCUAGAUCGAAAUUUGUUGCCUCUCAAAGAUCUCACUUCUCUACAGAGCAUGGAGGGCAAUCUGCGGAGUACUCCUGACCUCCAUAAGCAAUUGGUAAACACUCUGGCUCUUAAAGGUGGGGCGGACGUGCAGGAGUCUGUUUGGAGAAUCAUGCAUGGUCUGUUUACCAACUCCUUGGCGAGGAAAGUUAACAUGAGAGGAUUGAAUGGAAAGAUUAGCUUCCUACGCCUACAGAUACGAGAUGUUGUGAUUGCGGCUGUGAGACGUAACCGUCUAACAUCCGAUGCCACAGAGAAAGACAUUGAUUCCACCA